This 222-nucleotide ribosomal RNA is filed under the name uncultured bacterium. RNAcentral's name for it is "partial 16S ribosomal RNA". It matches the Rfam family "Bacterial small subunit ribosomal RNA", at positions 524 to 746 of the family's 1533-position model. The record is from RNAcentral.
UACGUAGGGUGCAAGCGUUAAUCGGAAUUACUGGGCGUAAGCGUGCGCAGGCGGUUUUGUAAGUCUGUCGUGAAAUCCCCGGGCUCAACCUGGGAAUUGCGAUGGAGACUGCAAGGCUAGAAUCUGGCAGAGGGGGGUAGAAUUCCACGUGUAGCAGUGAAAUGCGUAGAGAUGUGGAGGAACACCGAUGGCGAAGGCAGCCCCCUGGGUCAAGAUUGACGC